CAGAGGGGGCAAGCGUUGUUCGGAAUUACUGGGCGUAAAGGGGGCGUAGGCGGCCUGUUAAGUCGAACGUGAAAUCCCCGGGCUCAACCCGGGAACUGCGUCCGAUACUGGCAGGCUUGAAUCCGGGAGAGGGAUGCGGAAUUCCAGGUGUAGCGGUGAAAUGCGUAGAUAUCUGGAGGAACACCGGUGGCGAAGGCGGCAUCCUGGACCGGCAUUGACGCUGAGGCGCGAAAGCUAGGGGAGCAAACGGGAUUAGAUACCCCGGUAGUCCUAGCCCUCAACGAUGAAUGCUUGGUGUGGCGGGUAUCGAUCCCUGCCGUGCCGAAGCUAACGCAUUAAGCAUUCCGCCUGGGGAGUACGGUCGCAAGGCUG
RNAcentral lists this ribosomal RNA (372 nucleotides) under uncultured organism. RNAcentral's name for it is "bacterial SSU rRNA". It matches the Rfam family "Bacterial small subunit ribosomal RNA", at positions 526 to 896 of the family's 1533-position model. The record is from RNAcentral.